Molecule: ribosomal RNA, 475 nt
Filed under: uncultured bacterium
Lineage: Bacteria
Description: bacterial SSU rRNA
Rfam family: Bacterial small subunit ribosomal RNA
Source: RNAcentral
GCGCCAGACUCCUACGGGAGGCAGCAGUGGGGAAUAUUGCGCAAUGGGCGAAAGCCUGACGCAGCGACGCCGCGUGAGGGAUGAAGGUCUUCGGAUCGUAAACCUCUGUCAGCAGGGAAGAACGGUCACUGUGCUAAUCAGCAGUGAAUUGACGGUACCUGACUAAGAAGCCCCGGCUAACUACGUGCCAGCAGCCGCGGUAAUACGUAGGGGGCAAGCGUUAUCCGGAUUUACUGGGUGUAAAGGGAGCGUAGGCGGUUUAGCAAGUCAGAAGUGAAAGCCCGGGGCUCAACUCCGGGACUGCUUUUGAAACUGUUGAACUAGAUUGCAGGAGAGGUAAGUGGAAUUCCUAGUGUAGCGGUGAAAUGCGUAGAUAUUAGGAGGAACACCAGUGGCGAAGACGGCGUACUGGACUGUAAAUGACGCUGAGGCUCGAAAGCGUGGGGAGCAAACAGGAUUAGAUACCCCCGUAACU